RNAcentral lists this non-coding RNA (37 nucleotides) under unclassified sequences. Its description in RNAcentral is "abiF RNA". It matches the Rfam family "abiF RNA". The record is from Rfam by way of RNAcentral.
CCUUCCAUGCCUCUCAUAGAAGCACAAACAGGAAGGU